Mus spicilegus (steppe mouse) is the source of this 976-nucleotide long non-coding RNA. The record is from Ensembl. Lineage: Eukaryota; Metazoa; Chordata; Mammalia; Rodentia; Muridae.
UAGUUGGCAGAAGUCAGUCACCAGAGCAGGCCUCUGAAGGGUCUCCCCUUCUCGUCCUGGUCUGUUGUGAGUGGGAGAAGAAGGCAAGUGACAAGCAGUCAUGUUAGCAGGAAUACAGAAAACCGAAGAGUCGGGCAUAGCUGAACAGAUCCCCACAUCGAGUGCACACAACAUGUCAGCCUUCCUACCUGCUCCAGAGAACUAGUUCCAGACUCUCCCCAGGGAGUUUACUGUUAAAGAAGAGAUGAUGAAGAGUACAAAGUCCUCAGCUGUGGGAUACCUGGGAGACGGCUCAGAGAAGGUCGUUGCUGAAACCCAGUGAUCAGGAGCUUGUGCUUCUCGCCACGCCUCACCUCCCAGGGGCCCAUGAGUGCUCCUUUAUCCUCCCGGGGAUCUCAGUGGCCCACUGACACCCAGGAUGCUUCUAGGCCUUUCUUCCAUUCUAGGGAUGCAUCAAGUUGUUAUGGUCAUAGACACUUAAUGGAGCCAAGGAAGGGACUGCCUCACUUGUCCAUGCCACUGCUGCUACUCCUGGCCUCAGGGUGAAAUUCAGAUCUCCUCCAAUUCGUGAAAAUCAUGAAGUUGCAGAUUUUGAUCCAGAAGAUUUGGAGGAGACCUGAAACCUUAUGUUCCUAAACUGAUAACCUGAAUGACAGGUCAGGGUGACAUCAAAGACCAAGCUGAAAACCAGCCUCUCCAGACUCCCAAGGCCUUGCACACCUGCUCAGUCCUGCCUUUAGCAAUUCCUUGCACUUCCUCUUAGCAGCCUGGCACAGAACAAUUGGUCUAGAACACAGUCCGGCCUCUGACCUAUACAUUUCUCCCAGCAACUGUAUGGUCUUUCUCAAACCUCCAGGGUCAUAUAGGCUUCUAAACUGAGGUGUGAAAUUGCUCAUCUCAAUCAUUUUGCUUAACUCUGCUCUCCCUUCACCCACCAGGCUGGCUGGGUGAUCUGACCAACUGGGGUUUCCCCUGU